GUGGCCCCAAGUCAGGCAAGGCCACCCGCUGAGUUUAAG
RNAcentral lists this ribosomal RNA (39 nucleotides) under Monolophus sikkimensis. Its description in RNAcentral is "partial 28S ribosomal RNA". Lineage: Eukaryota; Viridiplantae; Streptophyta; Magnoliopsida; Zingiberales; Zingiberaceae. The record is from RNAcentral.